CGGCUAACUUCGUGCCAGCAGCCGCGGUAAUACGAAGGGGGCUAGCGUUGUUCGGAAUAACUGGGCGUAAAGCGCACGUAGGCGGAUACUUAAGUGAGGGGUGAAAUCCCAGGGCUCAACCCUGGAACUGCCUUUCAUACUGGGUAUCUCGAGUUCGAGAGAGGUGAGUGGAAUUGCGAGUGUAGAGGUGAAAUUCGUAGAUAUUCGCAGGAACACCA
Molecule: ribosomal RNA, 218 nt
Filed under: Durinskia baltica
Lineage: Eukaryota; Dinophyceae; Peridiniales; Kryptoperidiniaceae
Description: partial Bacterial small subunit ribosomal RNA
Rfam family: Bacterial small subunit ribosomal RNA
Source: RNAcentral